UUAAGCAAGAAAGGGCGCAGGGUGGAUGCCUUGGCACUGAGAGCCGAAGAAAGACGUGAUAAGCUGCGAUAAGCAGCGGUGAGGAGCAAAUAUCCGAUGACCCGCUGAUUUCUGAAUGGGGAAACCCGGCUGAGCAACCCUCAGUCACCAUAUGCUGAAUACAUAGGUAUAUGGAGGGAACCCGCUGAACUGAAACAUCUAAGUAGGCGGAGGAAGAGAAAGAAACAUCGAUUCUGUGAGUAGCGGCGAGCGAAAACGGAAGAGCCUAAACCGGAGCGCGUGCGUUCCGGGGUUCGGACUGCGACAUGUGAGCAAUAGGAUAACAGAACAGUCUGGGAAGUCAGACCAGAGAGGGUGAAAGUCCCGUAUGUGAAAUCCGAGUUGCAGCUAGCAGGAUCCAGAGUACCACGAGACACGAGAAACCUUGUGGGAAGGCAGGGAGACCACUCCCUAAGGCUAAAUACUACUCAGUGACCGAUAGCGCAUAGUACUGUGAAGGAAAGGUGAAAAGGACCCCGGGAGGGGAGUGAAAGAGAACCUGAAACCCUGUGUCUACAAGCUGUGGAAGAUCUUUACAUGAUCAACCGCGUACUUUUUGUAGAACGGUCCGGCGAGUUGCCAUGUCUGGCAAGGUUAAGUACUUAAGGUACGGAGCCGAAGUGAAAGCAAGUGUUAACAGCACGUUGAGUCAGACCGGGCAGACCCGAAACCGGGUGAUCUACCCAUGUCCAGGUUGAAGUUGCCGUAAAAGGCAAUGGAGGACCGAACGCACAUCCGUUGAAAAGGGUGGCGAUGAGGUGUGGGUAGGGGAGAAAUUCCAAUCGAACCCGGAGAUAGCUGGUUCUCCUCGAAAUAGCUUUAGGGCUAGCCUCAUAUUAGUCUUGCGGAGGUAGAGCACUGAAUAUCCUAGGGGGCGUCAAAGCUUACCGAAGAUUAUCAAACUCCGAAUGCCGUAAAGAUGAUGUAUGGGAGUCAGACUGCACGAGAUAAGUUGGGUAGUCAAAAGGGAAAGAGCCCAGACCUACAGCUAAGGUCCCAAAGUACGUGUUAAGUGGAAAAGGAUGUGGGAUUUCGAAGACAACUAGGAUGUUGGCUCAGAAGCAGCCAUACAUUCAAAGAGUGCGUAAUAGCUCACUAGUCGAGAGGUCCUGCGCCGAAAAUGUCCGGGGCUGAAACACGACACCGAAGCUUAGGAAUCGAAAGAUUGGUAGAGGAGCAUUGAAUACGGAACGAAGCAGUACCGGAAGGAGCUGUGGACUGUAUUGAAGAGAGAAUGCCGGAAUGAGUAGCGAGAUUUAAGUGAGAAUCUUAAAGGCCGAAUAUCUAAGGUUUCCAGGGUAAAGCUGAUCUUCCCUGGGUAAGUCGGGGCCUAAGGCGAGGACGAAAGUCGUAGUCGAUGGAUAACAGGUUGAAAUUCCUGUACCGCAUAUAUUCAGAAAUGUGGGGACACAGAUGGAGAGUACAGCCCGGGAAUGGAUAGACCGGGGCAAGCGAGGUAGGAGAAUGGCAGGCAAAUCCACCAUUCAAUCUGAAGACGUGACGCGUACCGAACAAGAGUAGGGAAGUGUAUGAGCCAGCUGUCGAGAAAAGCCGCUAUUGUGAUAUAUGCGCCCGUACCGUAAACCGACACAGGUGGAUGAGGAGAGAAUCCUAAGGCCGGCGGGAGAAGUGUUGUUAAGGAACUCGGCAAAAUGACCCCGUAACUUCGGGAGAAGGGGUGCCUCGGAAGAGGCCGCAGAGAAAUGGCCCAAGCAACUGUUUAGCAAAAACAUAGGUCUAUGCAAAACCGAAAGGUGAGGUAUAUGGGCUGACGCCUGCCCGGUGCUGGAAGGUUAAGAGGAGAGCUUAGCGCAAGCGAAGGUUUGAAUUUAAGCCCCAGUAAACGGCGGCCGUAACUAUAACGGUCCUAAGGUAGCGAAAUUCCUUGUCGGGUAAGUU
RNAcentral lists this ribosomal RNA (1938 nucleotides) under human gut metagenome. Its description in RNAcentral is "bacterial LSU rRNA". It matches the Rfam family "Bacterial large subunit ribosomal RNA", at positions 3 to 1982 of the family's 2925-position model. The record is from RNAcentral.